AUGUGUGUACCAAAAAAUUAAGGAGGCAUGGGCUUCCAAGACAUACAUUGUUUCAACUUGGCUUUGUUAGCCAAACAAGCAUGGCGUCUUAUUGAUAAACCGGAGUCUUUAUGUGCCACUAUCUUGAGAACUAAGUAUUUCCCUGAUGGCGACUUGAUGAGUGCAAGUUUAAAGAAAGGUUCGUCCUUUACUUGGCAAAGCAUUUUUGCGGGAGUU
RNAcentral lists this ribosomal RNA (216 nucleotides) under Triticum aestivum (bread wheat). RNAcentral describes it as "partial small subunit ribosomal RNA". Lineage: Eukaryota; Viridiplantae; Streptophyta; Magnoliopsida; Poales; Poaceae. The record is from RNAcentral.